CAGAAGAGAAAAUAGUGACAGAUUUGGGAGCUGAUAAGAGAUGAGUUCAAAUUAAAAGAGGAAGGAGGUGGAGAGAGGAGAAGCAAGGAUAUAGGUGGUUUGAGGACAAAACGAAAAAGAGGAGAUAAGAGGGAGGGAAGAUAUAAGGACAUGAAGGUGAAGACAAAAGAGGAGCAAAUUACAAAGAGGGCAGUUUAGGAUAAAAAGUGCUGGAAUUAAACUUGCAGCAACCAAGAAACCAGAGAAAAUAAUGUAAUAUACAGUCCAUGAAUGCAAACUUAUCAAAACUUGUCCAUCUUACUUUGAAAAAAGAAUAAAAUGUUAAUUUCCUUUUCUCUUCUUAGCAGCAGCGACAGGUUUCCCUUUUUUGAAGAAGGAGUCGUGUACAGUUUUAGCCACCGAGAACACAGACAAACAGCAAAAGUCUAGCGAGCAGAUUUAAUGAUUCGCAGACUACAUGGCUGUAUUGUCAAAGCGGUGUCACAAAAAGGGCAACAGCCACCAAGACAGCAGAGUCUUUAACAAGUAGACAGCAUUUAAUGGUGGCUCUAAGUAAUUUCCACAAAGGGAGGGAAGCAAGCACUGUCCGCAGUAAUAAAUAAUGCCAAACAAGUGAAGCAGGGCUGGGUAAUUGGUGUGAUCUUAACAUUUGAUAAGGCAGUAAAUGCAUCUGAAGAAAGCUGCUACAGCACAGGAGCCACUGAAACCAAUAGGUCAAAUACUGGUGUUUGUGAAGUUGGAAGGAACUGUCUUUUUUAUGAGUGGGAAUAGACUUUAACUACAAACGAGGGCGAUCUUUUAUUUCUCUCCUUUUAAUAAGACACAAGGCAGCAAAUAUGUGUGAGUUUAAAAGCUUUAAGGUGGAUAGAUUAAAAUUAAAGACAUAUGAAGAGGCAUUGUGCAUUUAUGAAGAUCGUAACGUGAAUUAAACUGAUAAACGCUGGUGACAACAGUGUUUUUUUUUUUUUGUCAAAAGCACAUUAUGACGAUGGUUAUCAUGCAUCUACCGUAAUUUUCAGACUAUAAGGCGCACUUAAAAUCCUUAAAUUUUGACAGUGCGCCUUAUAAUCCAGCGCGCCUUAUGAUUGAUUACUUGUUGUGCUCACUGACCGAUUUUUUUGUGGUACAAUGAGCUCAAAAAUCUGUCGAAAUGCUUAAGUUCAACUUUGGUAAGCAACAAAGCUGCUCUGCCCAGUGGAUAUUCAGAGCAUUACGGUACGCUUUGUCACUUCCUGAUCGGCCCUGUAACAGGACCCCUGACCAGUCUACAAGACUGCCUGACUGUAAUGCUACGUUCCAGUUACCUCAGAAGUCGGAUGUCGGAGCUGGGAAUGAUGUUACACCCGAGUUGACGACAUUCCAGUUAACAAGUCGGAAAACCAAGAUGGACUCCUACAGUUACCCGUUGUUAGCUGUUGUUUACAAUCGUCAGCUGUCGUUAGCCGUUGUAAGUUGUUAGUUGUUGUUACUGAUACCAGUUGUAAACAACGCAUAACACAGUAUUUUACUCUUACAAACACCAUAGCACCCUGUUCAAAGUUAGACAUUGGGCAGUACAACAUAAACCGCUUAUUGAAUUACACAAAAACAAAACUGAAGCACUAAUACAUUACGAUAGCUUUUACUGUUACUCUUUACUGUUGAUACACUGCGCUGCCAUCUUGAAUUAAGGCUCUGUCGUCAAGUCAGGGUUGGCAUGGGUCUUCUGAAUUUCCGAGUCAGAAAUCCGACUUCAGGGGGACGGUCUAGAUGAUUUUCCCAUUUGGAGCUCGGAAAUCCCAAUUUCCAAGUACAACUGGAACGUAGCAUAAUGUCUAAAUUAGAAGUACAUUCAUGUAAGGCAACCCGGGUCCAGAGUAUGCACUAGCAACAAUAAACCAAUCAAUGCUUAAUGCGCCUUAUUUAUGAACAUAGAUACGUUGAUUCACAGUGUGCCUUAUAAUCAGGUGCGCCUUAUUGCCCGAAAAAUAUGGUAAUGUUUAUUUGGAUUUAAAGCUGUUUCAUUCUGAGUUAAUGAUGGUUUUCUUGUAGUAAAUUCAGCUCCUUAUUUGUUGGAGCAAACAGCAAAACCAACCAACAAGUCAUCUGGAUUUAUUCUUCCUCUCACGCUUAAGUCUCCAAUUUACCAGACUUUUAAAGAAUCAGACCAUCAUUCAGCUCUGCUACGUGUGUGUGAAAAGCAUUACUAGAAAAGGAUAUUUUAUUUUCACUUGACACUUUUAAAUAAAAGAUAUUCAAGGACAGGUAUUUCUAAUGAGGCCCAGAACUGCAACCAAUAGUUCAGACGUUUUUGGGUUGAGUUUCUCCUUCCUGAAAAAAAACAGACAUACUUCCCAGGAUAUUCAAAUUUAGAUGUGAAAACCAGCUGCUAAUUGGGAAGACAUGGACACAAAGAGCACCACCUCUGUACGCCACACAGGAGACAAUGAGGCUGUUAAAAAACGAGAAAGCCUUGGUAGUGACAGAACAAUUGGAGUCAAACUCAUACACUUAACACUGCAACACACACACACACACACACACACUUACAAUGGCUCAUCCCCUGACACUCAAAACACUCAUCUGACACUCAAACGCAGGCGACUGACAGCAAAGACACGCUUCCCUGACAGAUCAAACCUGAUUUACAAUGCAUGCGUGUCGCGUGUGUGCGCCUGUGUGUGUCACUCUGCAAAGAGGAGACGAGCAGUGGGAGUUAGGGGUCAGAAUUGUAAAUUUGAAAGUGUCACAUAUCAUGUCAUUUAUCUACCCAGUGGCCCCUCCUCUCCUCAGCACACACACACAGAGGGGUGUCCACCUCUACUCCUCCUAGCCAUUCAUUCCAAUCUUCAGGAUAAUCAAUCAGCUCGUUCUGUCUUAUUUUGCUUCUUUUUCUCUUCCUUAUUUCCAUUUGUGGACUGCAUCACUGUCAACCCCUCGCUGUUAAGCAGGCGAGUCAGUCCCACAGGCAAUCUGUCCCCCAGCCAGUUACAUUUCGAUGGCUGACACCUUUGUGUUUCUGAACAUUUACCAGAAGUUUAGAAAAGCAACUCAGACUUCUAACAAUGUUUAUGUUCACAAAAUUAGUGUAACCAGGUAGGGCUGGGCGAUAAAACGAAAACAGUAUAUAUCAAAAAUUAAUUUCCCUCAAUAUCAAUAUAAAACAUGGUCAAUAUGCUUUUCGAUAGUCGGCAUUCUGCCAUGUUUUGGUAGACUAUACAAAUAGCCAAAGAAAAUAGGAGUUGCUGUGGGUCCGCUUUGAGCUGAACCAAUCGUGCUGAAUUAGAACCAAGUAGCAAACAACUGCGUAGUAGCAGGCUGCAGCUACACGCAACCAUAGCACUUAAACACGUGAAGCUGACAGCACUGUCUGUGAGAAAAAAAGAAAAUGAGUGCUACCCUGGCAGAAAUGCAGAUAAAGGCUCAAUAGAUGAUGACAUUGUUGACAACACUAGCAUGAAAACGUUGGUGGUGUGGAGGUAUUUUGGUUUUUUGAGGUUGGACAUAAUGCAGAGUAAUGUGCACUGCGAAUUUUGUCGAGUUCAUGUACUCGCAAAGUAGGGGAAUACCUCAAAUCUUUUUCACCACCUGAAGCAGUGCCAUGUGGCAGAGCACGCGCAACGCGAAAGGUUACAAACCCUCAGCGGAGCAAGGAGCCCAUGGCGCCUGUGCAGCGAAACAGCCGACCAUUCAGUCCACUUUCUCUAGAGCAACACCUUACGACAAAGCGUCAAAGAGACACAAAGACCUCACAGAUGCAGUAGAUUAUUGUAUUGCAAAAGACAUGCUAUCAAUAAGCACUUCUAAAUUUUAUUUAGGAGUAACAGGGAAGAUUGACAGGUGAUUUUUAAUAUCGUGAUAUAUAUCAAUAUCGAUUGAUAUGAAAAAGAUAUAUCAUGAUAAACUUUUUCCUGUAUCGCCCAGCCCUAUAACCAGGUAUGUGGCGUGCAGUCAAAGCCGUGUGUUUUCAGCCUUGACAUAGUACAAAGAUAAUGUUUAAAAGUUCACAGUGAUGGUCAUAGAAAGAUUUUAAAAAGUUUAUUAUGAUGGAGAAAUGUCCAGACAAAUGAGGAGAUUGACAUCACUACCACUACCAGCCUAUCUUGGAUGUGAUUGGGCACAACUUUAUUGAUCUUUUUGGGAAGGUUCCCUCAAGGAAAUCAAAAUCACUUUUCUGUUGAUUGAAAAAGUUCUGCUCAUUUAGCAUUUGCCCUCUAAUUUUAGUUUCAUGAUGACCAGUUUCAAACUGGGAGUAUCAAACCAGUAUCCUGAUCGUGUUAACAAAACCUGAAUGCAGAGGGGGUAGCAGGACAUCUGAAGUCGAGUUAAAAACAUGAUGCAUCUUGUUUUUGGAGUCUAUUCAACAGAAUAAAAGAUGAGGCAGCAAAUUACCGGACUAGCUCUCCAGCCCUCCCUGUGGUUUCUUCCUGCUUACACUGAAAUUUGUCUUUUAAAGGUUACUUAUCCAGUAUUUGCAUGCCAGUGUGCAAUGCAAUAAACUCUGACUAAAUCAGAUUCUGCUCUUCUUCAUUGUUUGAAUCCAACAUUUUGGCUGGACAUAAAAAAGCGUUAUCAACUAAGGCUGCUGCAAAUGGCCCUGACCUCGAAUGGCCCACUUUAACAGAACUUUAUCGAACUAUUCUCUGUGCACUGCAGGCAGAAGAACAUAUUUGUAUCUAGUCUAAAAAUAGUGCAAAAAUUAGAUCUUCUGAUGGAAAACUUAAAAUGGAAAAAUAUCCAAAUAGAGCACACCCUAAUGCCAAGGAUGGAGCUCGGGUAGACGUUUCCUUAAAUUAGCUAAACUAUGUGGCAUCACAUUGACCCCCGUCUGCAGCAGUUGAUAGCAUAGCUUCUAUUUUAGUUUCUGGCUGCUUUCUCAGCAAAGUGGACAAGCUGGCAGCAUCCCCUCUGAGCAAUAUAAAUACUAUUGACAGGCUCCUUCUAUAGUUCAAAUUCAAAGACAAGGAUAUGUCCCUUUGAUCCACCAGUGGAAAGUGCUGUAAUAUUUUGUGUUGGGCACCGUGCACACCUCCAUUUUAAAUCUGUAAAGUCUGCUGUGCACUAUGUGUCGGUGUGACCUGUUUACACCUCAGAAAGAGGUGUUUUUUUUUUCAUUGCACACAGUGCCUCCAUCACCCACUGCAUGUGACCUGACAGGACUGAAAAUUUGCCUCGUUUCAAGUGUUUACUUCAGUGUUUACUUCACUUCACAAAGAACGCUGGGAAACAUGGAGUUGUGGACCACUUUUUUAACACCAUGUCUCCUGUUUUUCAUGCACUUACAGAAAAAAGGUGGUCUCAAGGAAAUGAACCCAGUUGGGUGCUGUUUGAUGGAAAACACACUUCAGUUGAUGACAACAAGUAAGCAGCAGAGGUAAGUGGGCGUUAGAGUUUGAGGCAAAUGAAUUAUGGGUAGUGGGUUCAUACCUUGUAGUUAUCAAUGCUGCUGUAGGCUAACUACAGUACUGUAAGCUGGGACAAUAUGCUUUUCUCCUGAUUCGAUUCUUCUACAAUUUUUUGGAUGCUGAUUCGAUUUAAAUUGCGAUAUUGUCAUUUUUCACACCAGUGAAACAGUUGAAUGAUUAUGACUGUCUACUGACUAUUCCAGGAACCAUAUUUCCCCGAAAAAUACACAUCACAUUCAAGUCAGUUUUUAAGAUUUAUUCUAAUAUUUGGAAAAAAAAAUCGAUUUUUGAAAAAAUGGAUUUAAAAAUUGUAAAACAAAACAUUGCGAUACUUCCGUGACACGAAGUUUUCUCCCAUCCCUACUGUAAGGCGGAGGUUCUCAACUGGUCUUACUCUGGGACUCACACUUUCCCUUGGUCCUUAUGUCGUGACCCACUUGUAUAGAAUCCAGACCAAGCAAAUUAAUUUUUUUUAUAAAAAAAAACCCCAAACCUUUAAAGACUCUAAUCUUUAACAUAAAUACACCCAUUUUAUUGAGUAAAGUGCAUUUCAGAGCACAUGAACUAUCAUACUAGCACAGAAAAUACCAUAUAUAAAAGUGCACAAAACAAAGACCAAAAAAAACCCCCAUUAAUUUUACUGCAUUUGGGCUACAUUAAUAUGAAAUGGAGGAGGAUCACGACAACACUUGCCUUUCAAAAUAAGCCAUUUUUCAAAAUAAAAGACAUGUCAAACAUCAGAUGCAUAUUAAAUAUUUACUUUUUUGACCAGCUGCUCAUCCAGAAUGUACUCAUCUAGAACAUUUCCACGACCCACUUUUGGGUCGGGACCCACCAGUUGAAAACCACUGCUGUAAGCUACGCUGCUGCAAACUCCAUAUUGUUAUGAUGUGGGACAGGAAAAAGCUGCCCAUCCACCCAGAACCUGCACAUUGUGGACUGAGCUGGUUGCAAUGGAAACUGUCACAUGGGCAGACAGUUUUGAGUCCCCCUUAAACUCAUGGUAUAGUGGUGCUGCGACUUACAAAAAUCUGCAGUACAGCAGUGACAAGUCAAAAUUUCCAGCUUUAACAAGUCUACCACAUGUUCCAAGUUUUUACUUCUUUUAAUGUUGUCGCUACAGCACAAAAUCGUCCUCCUUUUAAAAAAUUCAUUCAUAUAGUGUUUUAUUUUAUACCGUCCGAGCAGCACAGACAUCAAACAGAAUGUGAUACUGUAGGGGAAAAAAAACUGUGCUCAUAUGUCUGGUUGUUGGUUUGCAUGUUUAGAGUUAUGCACUCUGAUGUAGUUGUACACCUUAGUUGUUUUUGCUGCUUGUGUGUGUCUGUGCUCGUGUGAUGUGGCCUCAGGGCUUCGUUGCAGGGUACCGCCGAGGGAAUUCCCCUAAAGCAAGAGAUCUGCAGCCAAAAGGAAAACAUGCAUCACCUCUGCUUCUCAUCUUUAGCUUUUGCAUGCCCCAGUCACAUAGAAGCAGACACAUUUAGCCCUCACCAUCACUGCAUGUACACACAUACAGGCACACACAUUUACUGAAAACAGCCACGUACUUAUUUUCCUGAGGAAUUUGAACACAAACAGUGUAAGUGCUCCUGCAGACAUUAAGCGUUGAAUGUAAUGCGGCGUUGCCAGAAGAUGAGCUGUGAAAAUUGAUGAAUGACUCUGGGGAACUGGUCCAAUAUACCUUUUGAACAUUUAACAUCGGAUUUACCACGGUGUGUUUGUGCACAGUCUGUAAUCCACAAUAUGGCCAAAACGGCAUCUUGUAUUGUAAAAAUUCCAAGUCUAUCCUGUAAUCAUCUUCUUGAGCACCAUCCCAUUUCUGCUUUUCAGGUAGGAACCUGGCUGGUGAUGGAUCAGAUUUCACAUUUCUAUACCUGUAUCUGUAAAAAGUUAAGCCAAAUUACCUCUGGUCACAGUCCAUGUGAACAACCAUCAGCUCUUGCUGUUGGUUAUAGUAUGCUUAGGUAUUACAACUGAGUGUGCACUGUUGGUAACCCAAAAAACAAAGCUUUAAAAAGAAAACACAGCAGCUUGUGAAUUAUGGGGUGUUGCAUUUAUUGUGCAAACAAGGCGCUCCAAAUCCAAACCCUACAAGUUCUCUGAAUUCGACUGAGAAAGUCUUUCUUCUGUACAAACAGAAAUCAUAACUACAAAAGAAAAUGAUAUACAAGCAAUUGAUCAGACAUUUACUGAACAAUUCUAACAACAAAUACGUUUAGUCAAACUUAUAUGAUUACCUUUGAGUCUAUUUUUUAGUGGUUCAAGGUUAAAUCUAAAAAGAAACUGCACUUGGUUAAAGCUCUUAAAGACGUUUUGCAUCUAAUAUGAUCAAACUGAAGAAUUCUCAGCCUGAAGAACUUGAACUAAAUCCAUUUGCAUUUUGGAAUAAACUUUGGAUAAUCAUGGUUAUUUGGAUGGCUCUGAAUCCUCUCAGACUUAUAUUGCAGCACAAACAGCUCUUACUCUUGAGGUCACGGAAAGAGCAACACAGAUGAGACCAAAACCUAAAGCUGAAAAACAAGUAGAAGAAUGGCUGAUAGAUUUUUGAUGAAACUGUUGUUUUUCCUAAAUCCCCGACGUGUUAUAUGUCUAAGAUUUGGAAGCCAAGAUGGAAAGGGACAGGUCAACCUUAACCUGAAUUGCACCAAUUUAGGAGCUUCAGAUUUCUUGUUCGUGCUCCCCAAGCACAAGCUGAGGUGUUGGAGGUAUUUUCAAGUUUAAUUGAAUGAUUGAGCCUCAGCAACAUCAAAGUCAAAUACGCAUGAAACAAGCCUUAACUUUCCUAAUCAGCACAAAGUAGACCGAACUGCAUAUUCAUGUUAGUUCAAAAGCCAAAAGAACAAAAGAAGUUAAAGAAAUAAAACAGACUAUUUUCUCCACCAAAAACAUUCCCCUCCGAAAUCUAAAGACUGUUUUUUUUUUUUUUUUCCACAAAGUCUUCUAUUUGCAAGGUUCCUAUGCACAAAUAUGUGCAAGUGUCAAGAUUACAGCCUCCAGCAGUGAAAUACCUCCACACAAAUCAAAAAUCUCUCAACCACAGCCUCCUGCUGUUAUGUACUAACACACAGCUCUCUCUGUCAAACUAGUUCUCAGUACUGAGGAGCUGGUGGCACUAGUUUGGAGCUGGGAUCAAAAGUGAAGCCUCAGUGGGGCGGCUGUAAUCUGCUCCAUACAGAGGGCGCGAGCUGACGUCACUCAUUUUUAAGUACAACCUCUGCGCCUCACCUCAUGUGAAUAAGUAAACAUCUUACACACCGGGAGGGAAACAAAGACAUAUCUUCAAAAGGCCAUUUGACCAAUCAGUGAUGUGCAGAAUAUUCUGGACACUCAGGGGAAACUUUAGAGAAACUUUUCUGUCCCAACUGCAGCUGGGUCAUCGAAGGUGGGACAUGGGUCAUAACCUAGUCUCCUUAAGGUAGCACAAUCAUGGGUCUCUCACAAACCAUUGACAUCAACAUCUUCAACUCGAUUUCAUUUAUUAGAAAUAAAACCGUAAAGCCAUUUAAAGUCAGCUACAUAGUGUCCAAGUACUUUGAUCAGAUUCAUGAAAAAAUGUUGGUUUUGGGGUUUUAAAUUUGGACAAUUAUGAGCUCAGUUAGUUUGUAGCUGCUCAUUUUAAAACCAGACAGACCAUGAUGAACAAGUCCUGUUUCCAAGAAGCUUCGAGCUAUAUCGGUUAGCUUGCGUUACACUGCACACAGCACACAAGUAGCUCACCUCCUGUUCACAGCAAAAUACUGUAAAUGUUAACAAUACAGCUUGUUGAAACCCACAUUUCUAUCUUUAUCAACCUGGGUUAACAUAUUCAGUCCAAGGUGUUGACACACUCAUACCUACAACCAGCAGUCAGUGUUAGCCGCCACCAGCAUCUUGAACUUCUUCUUGGUUUCUCAGUAAAACGAAAAAAAUAUCAAAGAAGUUUAAGUCUAUUAGUCUAUUAGUUUUUUAGCUUUAGGUAGUCUGUUAGCUUUUGUAUCCUGACUUUUCCCAAUUACAUUAUUUUCUUCUGUUAACUCUUCACCUUUAAGGGAGCACAUGAUGGUAACUACCAUAAGUUUGCCUGUUAAUGGCUGAUUACUGUGGUAUUUUAUGCUGCAUUCCAGUUACCUUGGAAGUCAGAGCUGGGAAUGACGUUACACCUGAGUUGACAGCAUUCAGAUUAACAAGUCAGAACACCAAGAUGGACGCCGUUAGUUAGCCGUUGUUAGCUGUUGUUUACAAUUGUCAGCUUCCGUUAGCUGUUGUCAGCUCUUGUUAGUUGUUGUUAGCUAUACCAGUUGUAAACGGCACGUUUUACUCUUACAAACACCAUAGCAACAUGUUCACAGUUCGACGUUGGACAGUAUAACAUAUACCACUUAUUUAAUUUCACAAAAACAAAACAGAAGUGCUAAUAAAUAAUACAUUCGUAUACUUCGUCAAGUUGGGGUUGUCGGGCCGACUUUCUGAGUCAGAAAUCUGACAUCAGGGGUGCGUUCCAGAUGAAUUUCCGACUCGGAGCUUGGAAAUUCCGACUUCCGAGUACAACUGGAACGCAGCGUUAUACCAAAAUGACUUGAAUUUCCUUCAAAUAACAGGAGCUAUCCCUCAUGUUUGUACAACACAACACUGUUUUAAUAUUGUGAUAGCAGGGACAGUGGCACGUCUCAGUAUAUUCAUAUGAGAGUCUGAUAGUGUUUGUUUCCUGAUUGAAGUAGUACAAAAGACUCUGCUUCAGUACAUUAAAUAAAGGCAGCAGGACAGUCAAGUUGAUAACCUGCACUCUUUAAUUUGAGGAAGUGCAGCACCAGAGCACACCACCAUUAAACUGUUUACUUUCAUCAUAUUACAUGCAAAUGACACCUUGCUGCUCUGAAGUAACCACAUACACCCUUGCACGCAUCAGGUUGCACCCUUAAAACUCGGCAUGCUACUGUUAUGCUGACGACAUGGGGAAAACCAAGGCUCAUUAAUUCUCAGCUUCAGAUUUUUUUUACCCACUUAGUUGUUCAUAUUCUGUUCUAAAAAUGCAUCCAAAAGCAAAUACAUGUGAGGAUAAAAAGAGUUAAGGCUGUAUUUGUAUUUUCUUUGUCUUUGUGUGACUAACUUUUUACAGAACUGUCUUCAUCUGUCUAAAGGUGCAGAUUUGUGGUGUGGCUCUGCACCAUCCUGUCAAUAACAAUAUUUCAUUGGUGUGCUGAGUCAUCAUUGUUUUAUGCAGUUUCUUUCAAGUUUUACUUCAGCACUGAGACCUAUGGUGUAACUAGUGUGCAUUUACUCGACCUUUAACCUAUGUUGAACUGUACCCAGACCCUUGUGAACUUAGCACUCUUGCCUGUAAAAACUGGCCUGACUUUUCCUGCAAGAAAACAAUUGGACCCUUUAUACUGACUGGUUAACUGGCUAUUAAUUUAACAAAGCAUUGGAGUUAUAGUCUACAUGUAAAUGAAAGUAAAAACAGUGGUGAAUAGGUUAGAUUAGGGCUGGGCGAUAAACCGAAAAUUUUCCCGAUACCGAAAUUUACGACAUUAUUUUCCCCAUGUCAAUAUAUUCGGUGUCAAAAAAACAAAUGAAUAAAAGUUGGUUUUGGAUGUGUGUAGGUAGGCUAUGGUCUCAUGUCCCUUUAAGACGCUGGACUACGACGGAGACAUGACUCCACCCUAUCCAGUCCGUAACAAAGAGGCAAAGACAGAUGAAGAGAUGGAGGACGGUUCAAAAGUUGUUGCGGUUGGAGCGGCGGCUAAAGUAGACCAAGUUAAUGUGGGAGGGGUUAAGCAUCUUGUGGAGUAGUUAUCGCCCAUUUAACGUUAUCGAGGUGAACUGCUCAACAUAUCGUAAUAUUGAUUUGAGGCCAUAUCGCCCAGCCUUACUUUAACCUAUGUUGAACUUCACCGAGCCCCUUUUGAACGCUGCACUCUUGCAUAUAAAAAAACUAGCUUGUCUAUUCCUUUAAGAAAACUACUGGAUCCUUUAUACUGACUGUUGUUUUGGCUUUGAAUUUAAAAAAGCAUUUGAGUCAUUGUCUAUAUGUAAAUGAAAAUAAGAACAGUGGUGAAUUGGUUAGAUGUUACUUUUUCUUAUGUCGUAAGGCUUCUUUUUCAGAUAUGUCUGGUACAGUUUACUUCAUAACUUAUGACCGGUUUUAAACUUUUCAAACUUUUAGUUAAAUAAGUUCUAAGUUGCUGCUGCCUUAUAAAUUUCAGAUGCAAAUAGUUUAUCAAAUCAACGAGACGGUCUUGCUUACAAUGUGGUUCUUAAGAAGUUGCUUUGUUUAGGAGUUUCUGUGGAAUAAUUCUGGCCAUAUCUAAGCCGGUUUUAUUGUUCUCAUUAAUAUUUCAUUAUGUCUGCGACUCAGAAGUAAAAAUGGUGAAUUAUUUCUACCAAUUGACCUUAGAAUGAGGACACGUUGCAGUGGUGAGCCAGAGAAUAUAUUGAUUCACUGGUUUCAUCAAAGUAUGAACAAAAUGAGCCAUUGUCCUAAAUUCAGAGGUUCACUGGGUCUGACUAAUGUGAAAGAUAUUUCCAAAUGGGAAGCGGUACAGAUUUGAUGUUAGACAGAGCUCUACACAUAAUAAUCAAGAGGAAUCAGCACCAUUACUUACUAAUUAGCUGCUUGGAUGCCAGAUGAGAAAUAGAUGCAGGAUAACACAGACUGGAAACUGUGUUGACACAGAACACAGAGCCAAACAAUCCGUUGUGUUCCUUGUUGUGGUUGUUAGAAUAUUCAUCAGGAUCUUCUGUACUCAAAAAUAGCCUCCAUGCAUGUUACUCAUCUAGCAAAGCAGUUCGAUGUGACUUGUUUUCGCAAUAAGAAGAAUGUUUGCAGCAUGUUUUCCAUUUUCAUGUUUUUUUGUAAACACCUUAAACGACGGCUUGUUGUGGAAGUUUUCGACCAUCAGUUAGUUAUUAUUUAUCAAAAGGACCCAGAGAUAUUUGGGGUUUAUGUUCUGGAUGUUUGAGUGUUUUCCUGGCUGCGAAAAGAAAAUAUAACAGCUGAUAUUUCUGUCUUUGUAACACCCAGAGCACAGAACAAAGAAAGCUGACAGCCAGACGUCAAUUCUCUUUCUCUCUUUUUCAAUGUAUGUGUGUGUGUCUGCACAAAGUCUUGGUUUGGAUGUGUGUACAUUUUUGUUUCUUUUGGAUGCACGAGCACGCCUCUAUGUGUGUUUGUGCACUGGAAUGUGUUAGCACAGUUGUCCAUGCAUGUUGUGCCGUCAUGCCUGCUUGCCUGACCGGCCAAAUUCGGUUCGAAAUACAUAUUCAGCACUUUGCCCCCCAACCCCCCACCCCCUUUCCUUCUUUUCGCGCCUCUCUUCUGCUCUCUCCAUUUUUUCGUCUGUUAUUAGAUAGGACAACUCUCGCCGCCGGCAAUUCUCCUCUCAGCACUCUACAUCCAAAGGCAUGUGUGUUUUGGGAACUCGAAUGUGUAUGUGAGUGUAGGUACUUUAGCAUGCUGUGUAUAUUAGUAGUAUUCUGCAAAUACCUUUGUUUUAGCGUGUGCACUGCGUCAGUAUAUGAACAGCUGUCUACUGUGUGUAUCAGGUGCAGAAAGAACAAGAGCGUGUUAUUGAGGAUCUGUUUCGUCCUUCUCUCUGCAUCCUCCCAUCCUCCAUCAUCGAUUAUGCCACCAAAAUGACAGGAGCCCCACUUUCACUUUGACCCCUAUCUCUUGGCCCACCUCUCCCUGAACUCCCUCUCUCUGCCUGUCCACACACACACACACACACACACACACACUCAAGCUCUCCGACAUGCUAACCCAGACCCACACACAGACACGCGUGCAAGAUGUAAGAGCCCGGAGGCUUCAUCUAUUAAAGGUCCAUCCAUCAUCACAUAUUAUUUUAAUAUGGAUGGGGGAAAAAAAGAUGCUUAUGCAGCUUAAAUGAGAAAUUCUGAGACCUACAUGCUGCAGUCUGAGCUUGCCCAGAAACCUGUAUAAGCACUUAAAUGCAUGCACACACACUCAGAAUCACUGAACAAGGUCAAUGCGCUCAGCCAAUUAUAGCUCAUGAGAUGCUGCUUUCUGUUGUGUGUGUGUGUAGAGUGUGCUGUUUGUGCUGUCUUUGUGGUGUGGCACACGAUUACAUGAGUAUAUAAGGUUUUCUACAGCUCCCUUGGGGCACAUGCCAUAAUGCAUGCAUUCAAUGUGUUUUGAUCUUACAUUCAUCUUUUACGCUUCUCUUCUUUGCAUCAUUGUCAUCCGUGUCCCUUAUUUUGGCCUCCAGGCAUCUUAGUUUGGGUUAGCACCAUGUAGUGUUUCCCAGUCCCUGCUUUGCAAAACCACACAGACUUAUCAUAAUUUUAUUCAGUUCAUUUCAUCUGGGUCCAGAUCGAGAUCAAUUAAACAUUUAAUGCUAAAAAAAAAAAAAAGGCUCAGAACUCGCAAAUAUUUAGAUAACUGUGUUCAUCUCUAGAGCUGUUCCUAUCUCAAUUAGGGCUGAUUUGGCAUCAGUUCUGGGUAAAUUAAGACAUGCUUCAAAGUGAAGACGGAGCUACAAACUCAUACUGCUCAACUCUAUAUACUUCAGCAGAAACCAUGCCGCUUUUCUUUACAAGACACUUCCAAUAAUAUUCAUUGCUGAGCAUUGCAAAAGCAUAAAUAAAUAUCUUCAAGGGGGGUUGGAGCUGUGAAACUCAAUCAAUGCUGACACUACAAUAACUCUGAAGUCUUUUGGAUUGUUAUUUUUGUCAGUUGACAAUCAUUUGUUAGAGAAAUGUAUUAAUUUAAACCACAGACACAGAUUUUGGCUCAGAAAUAGAAUGUUUUAAAGCUUUAUCUCUUUGUAGAUUGAAAAUAGAUCACUGGGUUCAUGGGAAUACACUCGGAUUACAAUUCAGGCCGACCAAACCGAAAGUAAACCAGUUGGAAAAUACCUGUUCAGGGUCUCUAUAGAGCUGCUUUGAGACUGCACUGCUUUGGCAGAGUGCUAUCGAUUGUGCUGUGAUAAAGAUUCAAAAGUUUGUGUGGGCAGAGCUUCCACACCCUGCAACCUCUUUCCACAUGCAGCCUGGAAUCAAUUCCUUACUUGGCAUCACCAGCAGUCAAUAAAGCAGUGCUGAACUCAUUUUUCAACAGGGUGUUUAAAAAAUGAGUUUGUUUGAGGGAUUCUUUGCCUUUUGAAAUUAGGCCACCAUUCCUGACAAUAACCUGAGUAACACCAGCUGAAAGACAUAACAUCACCCUCUGCUGCAGGCUUACAGUUUAGUGAAAUACAUCCUGAAAUGGUAAAAUCAUUAACUCCUGGAAGGCAGUUGCUCCGGUGAGUUAGACAAGUAUUGUUUUCUCUCGAUAAACAACACCCAAGCCUGUGUUAAGCUAUUCGAGCGGAGGGUGUGGAAUGAAGACGAGCACAGGCUGCAGUGUGAAACAUACCCAAACAGAUCUAUUAUAAGCUAUAUUGAUCCAUACUUGAAGACCUACACCUCAGUGCCAGCGUGGUGGGCUUCAGCAUUGCAGUCUGAAAAUGGAAUUUCCCAUGAGAAGUUAAAUGUAGCCAAGCAAGUAAAGUUCUUUUCACCUGCUUCUAGCUACUCGUGACAAAACCUCCCUUUUUUACAGCGUGGUCUUUUGCUGUAGAUCCAGGACAAACUGAAACAGCGAUUCCCUUGUCACAACUCCUUUUUCCACUAAGUACAUUAAAUGAAACAAGUUAACCAAGGUCAUGUUAUUUAUCUCGGCAAAGGGCGUAGGUGUGGUUGCAGGAAAAGACAGAGGUGGAAAACAAAUAGUCUCACCUGGGAGCAGGAGAAAAAACAAACCCUGUUGCACUAAUAGCCUUUGAGUGGGCUGUAUGCUGUCAAUGCCAAGUAAAAACAGCAGUCACUGUUUAUUGCUAUACACACUAAUAGAGGAAAAACCUAGAAAGCACCUGCGUUAAGAGCAAAUUUGGAUACUCAACAAUCAUCUCUCAACAGCAGUCUUUUAUAUGUAUAUGACUAUGGUAGUUAAUGGACAGCCUCUGAUUUGUCCAUUUGUGAAGAAAGGUUUUUCCAUUUCAGUCCAAUAUUUGGAGAAAAUAAAUUAAACUAUCAUAAUAUCUAGGCACUUAGGAGAUUUAAAGAAUAAAACCCUGUUUUAAAAGCCAAGGCCAAAAUCAAAGUUCUCAGGAUUGUUCAGAAACACACUGAAUACUUGAAUCAACUUGCCUUGGUUUACCUGUCCCUGAUUUUGCUAAUCUAUACAGCGUCUCAAACAAAGGAUUUAAGGUUGAAUAAUCUUUUUAAAAAUGUCAUUGCUUCCAAAAGUUGUCAGCCUCAAGCGAAGCCCAAGUGCGCUCACUUUUAGAAGAAACACAACCUUGGGGACAGAUUAUUCAUUUAAACCAGUCAUUUGAAUGACCUUAUUGGAUAAUUGUUAUGUUUGCUGAGAUGUUAAUAAUAUGAUCUUAUAAAAGCUAACCAGCAUCAUGCUAUUAAAGGUAUAGGUGCAUGCCACAGUGGCAUCAGCUGUUCCACUGGCAUAAGGCGUUGCAUGCCAUCAGCCUCUUUUCUAUGUUGAUGCUAUUACUGUCUCCACAAACCAAGCGCGAGGAAAAUCAUUCGCGCAAAUGAAUUACAUGUUAAGAAAAUGCAAAGAUGCAAUUGGAUGCUUGUACUACUCUGGAGGCGUGAAUGAUGUGAAUCGGGCGGGAGCUGAAAAUGUCUCAACUUGAGUGGAUAUUUGCGUCGCGAUAACCGAUCAGAACGAAGUUUGCAGGUUGAGGUAUGAAAACGGACGGUUGUUCACAAUGGUAUCUAAAUUGGAGGACGAACUGAUCGUGUCAGUGUGUGGGUGCCCCAACUUAUAUGAUACCUUUACUUUCAAUUACCAAAACAUGAAUAAAAAGGAGCUUGCCUGGAGGCAAUUGAGUGAGGAGGUCAGAUUACCUGGUAAAUUGUAAAAAACCUUUGUCUAUCACUUGAUCCUGCUGGUUGAAUUGGCAGGGAUUACCGUUGAAAUUAGCAUAAACUGUAAUGAUGCGCAAAUGAAGAGAGUAAAUGCUAUUCAUUCACGCAUCUAGAUUUGCGAAUUAAGCGAAUAGAUGAUUUUACUUGCACUUGGUGUGAUCGACCAUUAUUCUGGCAUGGGGUAUUUUGAGGUGACUGGACUGCAUUAUUGAUUCCAGUGCAUCUUUCAUGAGAAAACAUCAUGUUUCUUAUCUACCAUUGGUAUUGGAUUUCUAAUAUUAUACUAAAUACUUGUGGAUUCUAUAUGUGCUUUUAUUACAAUUAUGCCAUGCUGAUUCAUAAAUCACUUUCAUGUUACCUGUAAGUAAAACUUAGAAGAAAUCCAGUUUUCCUAUCUCUUUUGCUGUGAUUGCAUAUGAUGGAUGCACAGAGAUUCUCUGGCUUGUUUUCAGACUCCAGUAGUCAACCCGACUCUUCUUUGCCUGAGGACUGCACUACUUAGGCCCUUUUUUUAAGCUCUUAAAAGUGAAAAGCUGCUCUGCCUUUUCUCAGAGUCUUCCCCCAAGGCUGCCAGCUGUUGUUCCCUAAUCCACCCUGCAUCUUUUACAGCAUUCAGACACAUGUAAUAUUUAUUUGAUACGCCUCUGAAUGGACGAUUACACUUGUUACCUGCUGCCUCAUUUUGGUGUUGGAUUUUAAGUCAGGGUGACAGGGGAAGUGCAAACACUUGCAGCCAAGUCCCAUUUUGCUUCAAUCCAACCGGAAGUAUUUGUGUCGCACUUUGCAUCUGUUUCUGACACUGAAAGGAGAAGGAGGUAAUUUCCUCCAGACAACUCUUGCCUUAUGCAGUGAUGUUUCUGUACUAUAAGUAAAAGCUUGGCUCAUUUAUAGGUAACGACUCACUUAUGUGACUUCUACUUAAAAGUCAUGCUUACUUUGGCCUCCU
This 17199-nucleotide long non-coding RNA is filed under the name Xyrichtys novacula (pearly razorfish). The record is from RNAcentral. Lineage: Eukaryota; Metazoa; Chordata; Actinopteri; Labriformes; Labridae.